Molecule: ribosomal RNA, 369 nt
Filed under: uncultured Desulfobulbus sp.
Lineage: Bacteria; Pseudomonadati; Thermodesulfobacteriota; Desulfobulbia; Desulfobulbales; Desulfobulbaceae
Description: bacterial SSU rRNA
Rfam family: Bacterial small subunit ribosomal RNA
Source: RNAcentral
CCAUCUGGAAGAAUCUGGAGACAGGUGCUGCAUGGCUGUCGUCAGCUCGUGUCGUGAGAUGUUGGGUUAAGUCCCGCAACGAGCGCAACCCUUGCCUUUAGUUGCCAGCAGUUCGGCUGGGCACUCUAAAGGGACUGCCGGUGUUAAACCGGAGGAAGGUGGGGAUGACGUCAAGUCCUCAUGGCCUUUAUGACCAGGGCUACACACGUACUACAAUGGCCGAUACAAAGGGCAGCGACACUGCGAGGUGAAGCCAAUCCCGUAAAAAUCGGUCUCAGUCCGGAUUGGAGUCUGCAACUCGACUCCAUGAAGUUGGAAUCGCUAGUAAUCGUGGAUCAGCAUGCCACGGUGAAUACGUUCCCGGGCCUU